Molecule: ribosomal RNA, 465 nt
Filed under: Vreelandella stevensii
Lineage: Bacteria; Pseudomonadati; Pseudomonadota; Gammaproteobacteria; Oceanospirillales; Halomonadaceae
Description: partial 16S ribosomal RNA
Rfam family: Bacterial small subunit ribosomal RNA
Source: RNAcentral
CCUACGGGGCGCUGCAGUGGGGAAUAUUGGACAAUGGGCGAAAGCCUGAUCCAGCCAUGCCGCGUGUGUGAAGAAGGCCUUCGGGUUGUAAAGCACUUUCAGUGGGGAAGAAAGCCUUGGGGCUAAUACCCUCGAGGAAGGACAUCACCCACAGAAGAAGCACCGGCUAACUCCGUGCCAGCAGCCGCGGUAAUACGGAGGGUGCGAGCGUUAAUCGGAAUUACUGGGCGUAAAGCGCGCGUAGGCGGUCUGAUAAGCCGGUUGUGAAAGCCCCGGGCUCAACCUGGGAACGGCAUCCGGAACUGUCAGGCUAGAGUGCAGGAGAGGAAGGUAGAAUUCCCGGUGUAGCAGUGAAAUGCGUAGAGAUCGGGAGGAAUACCAGUGGCGAAGGCGGCCUUCUGGACUGACACUGACGCUGAGGUGCGAAAGCGUGGGUAGCAAACAGGAUUAGAUACCCCUGUAGUC